Long non-coding RNA from Sinocyclocheilus rhinocerous, 100 nucleotides. RefSeq lists it as uncharacterized. The record is from RefSeq and is a predicted model, not a curated record. NCBI's taxonomy places the organism in Eukaryota, Metazoa, Chordata, Actinopteri, Cypriniformes, Cyprinidae. The transcript is spliced from 3 exons.
UAGGUUGGUUUAAAAUGCGCUAUGUAUCGAUACUCGAGACCACGAUCAGCAACGCAGCGAUUGGCUGGUGGCAAGACAGCAACGAAAUUACAUCAUAUAA